GAUGAACGCUGGCGGCGUGCCUAAUACAUGCAAGUCGAGCGAACGGACGAGAAGCUUGCUUUUCUGAUGUUAGCGGCGGACGGGUGAGUAACACGUGGAUAACCUACCUAUAAGACUGGGAUAACUUCGGGAAACCGGAGCUAAUACCGGAUAAUAUUUUGAACCGCAGGGUUCAAAAGUGAAAGACGGUCUUGCUGUCUCUUAUAGAUGGAUCCGCGCUGCAUUAGCUAGUUGGUAAGGUAACGGCUUACCAAGGCAACGAUGCAUAGCCGACCUGAGAGGGUGAUCGGCCACACUGGAACUGAGACACGGUCCAGACUCCUACGGGAGGCAGCAGUAGGGAAUCUUCCGCAAUGGGCGAAAGCCUGACGGAGCAACGCCGCGUGAGUGAUGAAGGUCUUCGGAUCGUAAAGCUCUGUUAUUAGGGAAGAACAUAUGUGGAAGUAACUGUGCACAUCUUGACGGUACCUAAUCAGAAAGCCACGGCUAACUACGUG
RNAcentral lists this ribosomal RNA (497 nucleotides) under uncultured bacterium. Its description in RNAcentral is "partial 16S ribosomal RNA". It matches the Rfam family "Bacterial small subunit ribosomal RNA", at positions 28 to 507 of the family's 1533-position model. The record is from RNAcentral.